AUGAUGGUCCCUGCUCAGCUCCUGGGGAUCUUACUGCUCUGGAUCCCUGCAACAAGUGGGGAUAUUGUGAUGACCCAGACUCCACUCAGCCUGUCUAUCACGCUUGGACAACCAGCAACCCUCACCUGCAAGUCAAGUCAGAGCCUUGUAUAUAGUGAUGGAAAGACCUAUUUAUACUGGUUCCAGCAGAAGCCAGGCCAAGCUCCACGUCCACUGAUCAAUUUCGUUUCCAAUCGGUACACUGGGGUCCCAGACAGGUUCAUCGGCAGUGGGGCAGUUACAGAUUUCACUCUUAAAAUCAGCAGAGUGGAGGCUGAGGAUAUUGCAGUUUAUUAUUGCUGGCAAUUUGUAGCGUAUCCUCCCACAGUGAUACAGUUCUGCACAAAAACUUGUGAUGGUGUGGCCCAGCUGCCAAACAUGUGUGUUUUGUCUGCAAACAGAUAUUGCUCACUGUCUUGUCUGAUAAAGCGGAUGUUGGAGAACUCAAGGCACUGGGUUGUAAUUGUGGGUAGGGUUUGA
Non-coding RNA from Chrysochloris asiatica (Cape golden mole), 519 nucleotides. The record is from the annotation of a RefSeq genome assembly. Lineage: Eukaryota; Metazoa; Chordata; Mammalia; Afrosoricida; Chrysochloridae.